UUUUUAACAAAAAUUUCACUG
Molecule: non-coding RNA, 21 nt
Filed under: Caenorhabditis elegans
Lineage: Eukaryota; Metazoa; Nematoda; Chromadorea; Rhabditida; Rhabditidae
Source: RNAcentral